CCGGCCGCCCCUCCGCCUGCCUCUUAGCUACGGGGGAGCAGAUAGGGACUUGGGGUGGCUUUCGCUCACAGGGUUGACCAGCCUGGGUCCUGGCGCUAGGGACCUGAAGCAAGAAUCCUGACUGAUGCGUGUUUACUACGACCUGACUUAUUGAGGAGAACAAGGACUUCUCUGAAGGCCUGUCCCCUCAAAGCAGCAGGCAGGACAAGCUUGGCUAGAAAGAGAUACAUGGGACACACAGACAAUUAAAGACUAGAAUAGACACUGUGCUUCAAGUCCCAAGAUUUGUGAAGGAAGAUUUG
RNAcentral lists this long non-coding RNA (302 nucleotides) under Bubo bubo (Eurasian eagle-owl). RNAcentral describes it as "lncRNA (ENSBOBG00000010885.1)". Lineage: Eukaryota; Metazoa; Chordata; Aves; Strigiformes; Strigidae. The record is from RNAcentral.